AGAGUUUGAUCCUGGCUCAGGACGAACGCUGGCGGCGUGCUUAACACAUGCAAGUGGAGCGACGAACCAGGCUUCGGCCUGGGGCAGAGCCGCGAACGGGUGAGUAACACGUGGGUUACCUGCCCCGAUGAUCGGGACAACCCGAGGAAACUCGGGCUAAUACCGAAUGUGACCUCCGGCCAUAAGGCCGCUGGGGAAAG
Molecule: ribosomal RNA, 200 nt
Filed under: uncultured bacterium
Lineage: Bacteria
Description: partial 16S ribosomal RNA
Rfam family: Bacterial small subunit ribosomal RNA
Source: RNAcentral